Long non-coding RNA from Gavialis gangeticus (Gharial), 1434 nucleotides. RefSeq lists it as uncharacterized. The record is from RefSeq and is a predicted model, not a curated record. Lineage: Eukaryota; Metazoa; Chordata; Crocodylia; Gavialidae. The transcript has 4 exons.
UCUUCAUGCAAAGACAGACAGAUGGUUUUGACCCAUUCUAGAUGUGAGGAAGCUCAGUGUCUUCAUUGGGAAGUGUUGUUUUAUUUAAAUAACCUUUAGUUAAAUGCCCCUCUUUUUCCCCCUGGUUUGGUUUUCUGCAUUUUGUUUAAACAUGCUUGUAUCCACCUCUCUAUCUACCUCCUGGUAUCUCAUUUUUACAGUGCAUUAAUGACACUUUCUAUAAAAGUUUCUUCCAUUUGAUCUAUGUUUCUUUUUCUUUGUCCGUUGACCUGAAGCAGUUUUUCCAAUGUGGUGGCUCAUUUGAAAAGACCAAGACAUUUAUUUCUUCCUCUACAGAUAAUUCACCACCCAAAAUGAUACUGUAUGAAAGAUAUUCAUUAUAUAUGCACCCUCUUUGAAGACUUUUAUAAUACUCAAAGUUGUAUAAAAGUCCCAGGUAUGUUCUAUACAAGAAAUCUCUUUUACAGAGUCAGUUUGUGAUGAUCAAGAAAGCAGAUCCUUACAGAUGUGGUUGACAUUCAAUUACAGAGCAAGUACAUAGAUUAGGUGUGCAUAUUGCACACAUGCGCACUCACACACAAAUGCUAGCCAUCCCAAAAGGUGCACUGUUUUCAUUGACAUGGUGAAUUUCAAAUGCAACUCUUCUCUAGGAGGAAUAUUGUUUAGUUCUCCAGCUAAAUAGAUAACAAUCUCAUCAGGUAUUUCCACUGUCCAUUAGAGCACAUUUUUGGCCCUCUAAAGGUAAACUAAAACAUGCCAGAGGUGUUUUAAAGUACCACAAAAAAUGAUCUAAAACAAUAAAAUCAGCUGAUAACGUGGAUACACAGAUGCUAUUUAGCUAGCUUAAUGGUGAUUUUUGUCAUGUGGAGACAGGAAAAGUAACGUGGAAACGAGAGGUGUCACGUCUACAUGCACCCUAAUAGUUUCAGGGCUCUGGAACCUUUAGGAAAAGGGAGCUUGUAUGCAUAUUUCAGAACUGAAAACCAUAAAUUCAUCCGGCUCUCAAUUCUUUUCUUCGGGGCAGGAGUAAAUCAGGCUGGUGUAGACAACAACAAUGGUAUGCUGUUUCAAAAGACAAGGGCCUCUCAUUCUUGAAAUGUUCAAUGAAGCAGUUGAGCUGUAGGAUUGGUAUAUGCAGCACAUCAGUUCUACUGAAACAGUAAUUUAACUUACUGGUGCUCAAGAACAACUGAAGAACUAGAGAAGCAGAAUAACAAUAAAUCUUACAAAUCCAGAACUCCUCCUGUCGCCAAAACUACCCUGAAUUCAAACCAGGAUGAUGCACUUGAUUCAGAGGAGGAAAACUGCACACAGCAGCAUGAAGCUACAACAGACAGCCCUGUGUUUUCCUCCAUCAGGGUACUCUACACAUGGCCCUUCAGGAGCAGCAACUUCCACAGAACAGCACUUACACUGGUAAGUCCAACCUUGCUG